CCCAUAGGGAGCCAGAUCCAUCCUGGUACUGCCACAAAGGGAGCCAUUGGGGGGCCCAUAGGGACCCAGAGAGAUUCAGGUACUGCCACAAAGGGAGCCAAUGUGGGGCCCAUAGGGAGCCAGAGCCAUCCUGGUACUGCCACAAAGAGAGCCAUUGGGAGUCUCAAAGGGAGCCCCAUUGGGAGCCAGACAGGACCCCAGGUACUGCCACAAAGGGAGCCAUUGGGAGUCCCAUAGGGAGCCAGAGCCAUCCUGGUACUGCCACAAAGGGAGCUGUGGGGAGCCCCAGAGGGAGCCAGAGCCGUCAUGGUAUUGCCACAAAGAGAGCCAUUGGGAGUCUCAAAGGGAGCCCCAUUGGGAGCCAGACAGAGCCCAGGUACUGCCACAAAGGGAGCCGUGGGGAGCCCCAUAGGGAGGCAGGCAGAGCCCAGGUACUGCCACAAAGGGAGCCGUGGGGAGCCCCAUAGGGACCCAGAGAGAUUCAG
Molecule: long non-coding RNA, 485 nt
Filed under: Gallus gallus (chicken)
Lineage: Eukaryota; Metazoa; Chordata; Aves; Galliformes; Phasianidae
Description: lncRNA (ENSGALG00010010151.1)
Source: RNAcentral